Molecule: long non-coding RNA, 2647 nt
Organism: Solanum dulcamara
Lineage: Eukaryota; Viridiplantae; Streptophyta; Magnoliopsida; Solanales; Solanaceae
Exons: 5
Source: RefSeq, a predicted model, not a curated record
GUGUGGUCGGAGAAUUCUAUAAGUACGAUGGAAAAUUAGUCCUAUUUGUGUUUUUUGGUUGAAACAAUACGUUGUUGGUUAUGUAAAUAUUUUUUCUCCAAAAGCAGUUGUCCAUUCAUUUUUAGGUUUCAGAUCACAAAUUCUGUGAACAAGCCAAUUAUAGUUCUCGGCUAAGGUAAAAAUAUGUCUCUAAAAUCCUUGAUAUUAUGGUUACUAAUGCAGACCUUUGAGUACUUCAGUAGUAGUGUAGUCCUUCUUAAAAAACAGAUUGAAAAGUUCAACUAUUCUUAAAUGUUGUAAAACCUUUGUACUAAUUUUUCGCCUGCUAUGUCGAGCUGUUAAUAGUUCGUACAUUAUAGCAUAAGCUGACUUCAUUUUUCUUAGCGUUAGUAGAUAACUUAUGCAAAGAAAUAAUCUUCCAAAAUUGAGACUUAUGCCGUAAAUUCCUUAUAGUUCAUGAUGACUGGUGUAAUAUCUUACUAGACAUAUAAUUUAUGCUCUUUCUUCAGAGAAUCUCCUUGAUACACACCUUGCCACAUGGAGCUGUAUGUACGCAUCAUAAAAUUCACUAUAGACAUGGUUAAAUCAAAUACAUGACUACACUUGAACCAAUUUUAAAAUUCAACCAAAAAAAUGCAUCUCAAAUAUAAAUCUAUAAAGUACAGAAGUUCGAGGACACUAUUUCUCUCAUUGAAAUAUUUAGAGGCAAGUAAUUAAAAUAGUCUAAUGGAGAGAUGUUAGGCAACUGGAAAGAUAGUACAAGUAUAACCAAUAGUUGAUUUUCCUGGUACCUACCCUUGCGUACCAUUAAUGCUUGAUAAAGUGAUACUCGAUUUUAAGGAAUGCAAACUGAAUUAUCCGAAGGACUCCCCUACAGUGAAAAACAUAAGGAUCAUUACAAGAUUUACUUAAUCAAAAAAAAGGAUCAUGCAAAACUCUAGUUACCUACGGGAGAAGCAUUACAAGAUUUACUAUAUUUCGAGAUCUGUUAGAUCAUUUAUAUAUUAAAUAUAACACUUAAUACAAUUAUCAAAUAUACAAUACAAAUUUAAGAAAGGGGGUUUAGAUGCACUUUGUUUUAUGAUUAAGCUUUCAAUUGAGUUCUCAAAAUCAUCUAGAACUUACCAAUAUUCUCUCUGUUUUGUUCUGCUGCAUUUUGUUUCUUUGCCUGUUGUCCAAGUCUAUAUUUUCUGCAGAACCAAAAAAAAGGGGGACAAAUCCGCCUAAUAAGUUCUUGACAGGGCAAAAACAUCGAUGAAUAUAGAUACAGAUGCCUGACUCUACCUGCAAAUGACUCUUCAAAUGAUACAGUAUGAAGCCCUUCAAUCCCAUUAACUUUAGUACUGACUUGGGAGUUGUUUUUGCAAAUUCAUGGACUUUUAACAAACAUUGCAGACUCUAAAAUAGAAACCACAAAUCCAAAACACCGUUAACUCAUUAGCACAAGCGAGAAAGUAAACCCGAUUCUUCCACGCAAUGUGCAUGCAUUACAUGGACCUCUCAAACAUUUACAUGUAAUACAAAUUCUAGUAACUUUGCUUCUGGUGAGUCUAAGGCUUAACGAACAUGUUCUCGUGCUGAGCAGGAAUGCAGUUCAACAUUAAAGGCAGAUGGAAAGAUAGCCGACAAUAGUUUAGCUGAUGAAAUUGUAAACCAACAAAGCUACCAGAAACGUAUACUAGAACUUAUUCUUGACGUUCUGCAAAGGUUAGUAUUCAUCCUCAAAUUAGAUUAAGUUUGAUAUUUAUCACAUCAUGCAUACUAUAAGGAAUACAUUUAACAUCUUACUACUUUGUUGUUAAGAGGGACACCCAUGAAACAUUUGCAGAACCAGAUGAUCCCAUUGAGGUUCCAUUGAUCUUAUUACUGACUUCGGUUUUUGAAGGCCAUGUAUUCUUACUGACUUACAUCUCCUGCUUCUUUUAAGGUGGAAGAUUACUAUGAAAUCAUUAAAGAAUCUAUGAAUUUUGAUACAAUGAGGCUAAGCUUCCUCAAAUAAUUUAUCAAAACCUCCAACAGUUUGAGGUCAUAUUUUCCCCUAAAUUAGGGCUUUAGGUUUAUUUGCAUAUCUGGAUAAUCUUUUUCUUUUCCCUUCAAGUCAGAGUGGAUUGGGAUGAAAUUUGAGGAAGCAGGAUCAAGUUGUGCCAGCCCUUCUCUUUCUAAUAUAGUUGAUUUUAACAGCACGUGAACCUCCAAUCACAUCCCAUAUUUGUGAAAUGCAUUAUCUGUUAACACAACCAUCAAUCAUUAAUUUACAAGAAUAUUCCUACAUCUAAUGUCUAUUUAAUUUCGAGAACAUGCAUUCAGGUGAUCUAUCACUCAACUUGGUAGAUGUUGCUACUUACUACUUGUUUAAUUUUCAGAGUCUAUCAGUGUAGUCGACCAACUAGAAAGAAGUUCUCAGCAAAUGUCAUUCUCAGUUGAGUCAGAAGCAUAUCAAAAUGGCUUUAAAUAUUUGAUUAGUUUACAAGUCUCAGACCCAAAGAGAAGAUGAGGUUAUCAUUUUGCAGAGAGAGUUGCGAAAAUUUUCAAAUUUCAUAUUUAAAUGUAAUGACUUAUAUUGGGUUGUACCAUGCUACAUUGCUACUGAUGGAAUGUUAAUCUGAUUUUUGUAAUUGAUUAUAUAUAUACAACAACAACGACUCAG